This is a non-coding RNA of Vicia faba (fava bean), 315 nucleotides long. NCBI's taxonomy places the organism in Eukaryota, Viridiplantae, Streptophyta, Magnoliopsida, Fabales, Fabaceae. The record is from the annotation of a GenBank genome assembly.
AUGAGAGAUUCGGUCACAUGGAAGAUUUCCAACCUUCUGAUUAAGGAAAGGCGAAGAACAGCGAUACAAGGAGUCUUCUGGCGGUUACAGGGGUGUCACGGUCAAAUUGGAGUGAUUUCGGUGAGGUUCCGGCGGACAGAAGGAGAUCGGAGGAGGUCGGAUUUCCGGCGAAAGAAAAUUUCCGGACAGGGAGCUCGAUUUUCCGGCGAGAAGAAGCAAAGAACUUGUGGCCAUGGUGGAAGAAAUACUUGGGAGAGACAAGAGGAGAACACAUCUAUCACGAAGCUUUGGAGUUUAGAUUUAGAAAUGUUUUGA